RNAcentral lists this ribosomal RNA (497 nucleotides) under uncultured bacterium. RNAcentral describes it as "partial 16S ribosomal RNA". It matches the Rfam family "Bacterial small subunit ribosomal RNA", at positions 28 to 507 of the family's 1533-position model. The record is from RNAcentral.
GAUGAACGCUGGCGGCGUGCCUAAUACAUGCAAGUCGAGCGAACAGACCAGGAUUUUGCUCCUCCGACGUUAGCGGCGGAGGGGUGAGUAACACGUGGAUAACCUACCUAUCAGACUGGGAUAACUUCGGGAAACCGGAGCUAAUACCGGAUAAUAUAUUGACCCUCGUGGUUCAUUAGUGAAAUACGGUUUUGCUGUCAGUUAUAGAUGGUUACGCGCCGCAUUAGCUAGUUGUUAUGGUAACGGCUUACCAAGGCAACGAUGCGUAGCCGACCUCAGAGAGGGGUCGGCCACACGGGAAGGGAGACAGGGAACAGACGCCUGCGAGAGGCAGCAGAAGAGAAUCUGCCGCAAUGGGGGAGAGGCUGACAGAGCAACCCGGCGUGAGUGAUGACAAUGUUCGGAUCGGGAAGCUCGGUUAUGAGUGGAGAACAAAUGUGUAAGUAACUGUGCACGUAUUGACGGUACCGGGUCAAAAAGCCACGGCUAACUACGUG